GGUGUGGUUGUUGCUGGCCCUCUCGGGGGCAUGUGCACACCCACCAUCCUCAUCUCUCCACCUGUGCACCUCUUGUAGACCUGGAUUGACUUUCCGAGGCAACUCGGUCGGGAAGAUUGCUGCGCUCUGUGAGCCAGCUUUCUUUGCAUGUCCAGGCCUAUGUUUUUCAUAUACCCCUAUAGAAUGUAACAGAAUGUAUCAUUGGGCCUUGUGCCUAUAAACCUUAUACAACUUUCAGCAACGGAUCUCUUGGCUCUCGCAUCGAUGAAGAACGCAGCGAAAUGCGAUAAGUAAUGUGAAUUGCAGAAUUCAGUGAAUCAUCGAAUCUUUGAACGCACCUUGCGCUCCUUGGUAUUCCGAGGAGCAUGCCUGUUUGAGUGUCAUUAAAUUCUCAACCUUAUUAACUUUUGUUGAUAAUGGAUUGGAUUGUGGGGGUUUCUUUUGCUGGCUUCUUCACAGAGAUCAGCUCCCCUUAAAUGCAUUAGCUGGUGCCCCGCGUGGACCAUCUAUUGGUGUGAUAAUUAUCUACGCCGUGGAUGUCUGCAAUCAUAUGGGUUUCGCACUGCUUCUAACCGUCUGUUCAUUCGGACAAUACAUGACAAUUUGACCUCAAAUCAGGUAGGACUACCCGCUGAACUUAAGCAUAUCAAUAAGCGGAGGAAAAGAAACUAACAAGGAUUCCCCUAGUAACUGCGAGUGAAGCGGGAAAAGCUCAAAUUUAAAAUCUGGCGGUCUCCGGCCGUCCGAGUUGUAAUCUAAGAAGUGUUAUCCGCGCUGGACCGUGUAC
Molecule: ribosomal RNA, 787 nt
Filed under: uncultured Alnicola
Lineage: Eukaryota; Fungi; Basidiomycota; Agaricomycetes; Agaricales; Cortinariaceae
Description: eukaryotic LSU rRNA
Rfam family: 5.8S ribosomal RNA (bases 230-383)
Source: RNAcentral